GGCGGACGGGUGAGUAACGCGUGGGGAACCUGCCCUGUACCGGGGGAUAGCAGCCGGAAACGGCUGAUAAUACCGCAUAAGCGCACGAAUGUCGCAUGACAUGGUGUGAAAAAACUCCGGUGGUAUAGGAUGGACCCGCGUCUGAUUAGCCGGUUGGUGGGGUAAAAGCCUACCAAAGCGAAGAUCAGUAGCCGAGUUGAGAGACUGACCGGCCACAUUGGGACUGAGACACGGCCCAGACUCCUACGGGAGGCAGCAGUG
This 261-nucleotide ribosomal RNA is filed under the name uncultured bacterium. RNAcentral's name for it is "partial 16S ribosomal RNA". It matches the Rfam family "Bacterial small subunit ribosomal RNA", at positions 97 to 356 of the family's 1533-position model. The record is from RNAcentral.